Anopheles cruzii is the source of this 542-nucleotide long non-coding RNA. RefSeq lists it as uncharacterized. Lineage: Eukaryota; Metazoa; Arthropoda; Insecta; Diptera; Culicidae. The transcript is spliced from 3 exons. The record is from RefSeq and is a predicted model, not a curated record.
GACAGCGCGCGUCGUUUAGCGUGAGUCGGAUUGCAUAUGUUUCAUAGUCCGUGUUUAGUAGUAAAGCUAAUCGAUUAGCGUAGUAGAUUGGUCGGAAUGGCCAAACAACGAUAUUUAGUGAUUUUAAUCUGUCUCUUGUUGGGAAAUUUUGUCAUAUUCCACGAUCGGGAGCGAAUAGUUUUAGCGAAAGAGGUGGAUUGUGUCACUGAUUAUAUGGAACACCAUGAACAAGGGGUAAAUGACCGAUUUGUUGAGGAAGAGUUUCCGAGCAAGAAUAAAGGAAGCGACAACACUUGAGAUGGCUUCCUCUACUAUGUACUGAGCGUAUGGAAUUAUGAAGGAAUUAUGAGAUUGAUUAUGUAACACCCACCAUCUGAAGAUACUGAAACAACAAAUGAGGAUAGCGAUGAAGAUGUGGAGCCCUACUUGUUGGAUUGACUACAGACGACUGAAUUAUUUAAGCCAAAAUGUUUAAAGGAAUUGUUUUCUCCUUGGGUUUGUUUCAAUACUAGUUAGGUAAAUAAAUUACUAAGCUAUUGGUG